GACGAACGCUGGCGGCGUGCUUAACACAUGCAAGUCGAACGGAAAGGCCCUGCUUUUGUGGGGUGCUCGAGUGGCGAACGGGUGAGUAACACGUGAGUAACCUGCCCUUGACUUUGGGAUAACUUCAGGAAACUGGGGCUAAUACCGGAUCGGAGCUCCUGCUGCGUGGUGGGGGUUGGAAAGUUUCGGCGGUUGGGGAUGGACUCGCGGCUUAUCAGCUUGUUGGUGGGGUAGUGGCUUACCAAGGCUUUGACGGGUAGCCGGCCUGAGAGGGUGACCGGCCACAUUGGGACUGAGAUACGGCCCAGACUCCUACGGGAGGCAGCAGUGGGGAAUAUUGCACAAUGGGCGGAAGCCUGAUGCAGCAACGCCGCGUGCGGGAUGACGGCCUUCGGGUUGUAAACCGCUUUCGCCUGUGACGAAGCGUGAGUGACGGUAAUGGGUAAAGAAGCACCGGCUAACUACGUGCCAGCCGCCGCAGUAA
Molecule: ribosomal RNA, 484 nt
Filed under: uncultured bacterium
Lineage: Bacteria
Description: partial 16S ribosomal RNA
Rfam family: Bacterial small subunit ribosomal RNA
Source: RNAcentral